GAUGAAGAACGUGGCGAAAUGCGAUAAGUAAUGUGAAUUGCAGAAUUCAGUGAAUCAUCGAAUCUUUGAACGCACCUUGCACCCUUUGGUAUUCCGAAGGGUAUGCUCGUUUGAGUGUCAUUGUACUCUCACACUUCUAAUUCCUUUCGGGAUUGGGAGCGGUGGACUUGGGUGUUGCUGCUUUAGUUGUGGCUCACCUCAAAUAAGUUAGUGCAACUCUUGGUUGGACAUAGUACGGCGUGAUAAGUGUCUUCGCCGGCGCCUCUGUAAGGAGGGUGGCCGAUCGGGAGCUCUGUGCUUCAAACCGUCUUCGGACAAUCUUUGACAACUUGACCUCCAAUCGAGUAGGACUACCCGCUGAACUUAAGCAUAUCAAUAAGCGGAGGA
RNAcentral lists this unclassified non-coding RNA (387 nucleotides) under soil metagenome. RNAcentral describes it as "partial contains 5.8S ribosomal RNA, internal transcribed spacer 2, and large subunit ribosomal RNA". The stretch from base 1 to 120 matches the Rfam family "5.8S ribosomal RNA", at positions 35 to 154 of the family's 154-position model. The record is from RNAcentral.